RNAcentral lists this ribosomal RNA (468 nucleotides) under uncultured bacterium. RNAcentral describes it as "partial 16S ribosomal RNA". It matches the Rfam family "Bacterial small subunit ribosomal RNA", at positions 28 to 507 of the family's 1533-position model. The record is from RNAcentral.
GAUGAACGCUGGCGGCGUGCUUAACACAUGCAAGUCGAACGGAAAGGCCCUGCUCUUGUGGGUUUCUCGUUUGGCGAACGCGUGAGUAACACGCGUGUAUCCUGCCCCUGUCUUUGUGAUAACUUCAGGAAACUGGGGCUAUUACCGGAUAGAAUCUCCUGCUGCAUGGUGGUCGUUGGAAAGUGUCGGCGGUUGUGGAUGUACUCGCGGGUUAUCCGCUGCAUGGUCGAGUAGGUGCUGACCAAGCUUUCGACGGCUAGCCUGCCUGAGAGGGUGACCGGCCACAAUGGGACUAAGGGACGGACCAGAAUGGUACGGGACGCAGCAGGGGGGAACAUUACACAACGACCGGAAGCCUGAUGCAGCGACGCCGCGUGCGGGAUGACGGCUUUUGAGUUAUAAACCGCUUUCGCCUGAGACGAAGAGUGCGUGACGGUAAUGGGUAAAGAAGCAACGGCUAACUACGUG